RNAcentral lists this long non-coding RNA (413 nucleotides) under Pongo abelii (Sumatran orangutan). RNAcentral describes it as "lincRNA". Lineage: Eukaryota; Metazoa; Chordata; Mammalia; Primates; Hominidae. The record is from RNAcentral.
CAGUAGAAAACGGAUGAACAAACCUAGAUUUCUUCCUGCGUGAAUCCAGUUGAGGAGAAGGUAUAAAAUUUUCAAAUGGAGGAGUGUACCUGAACCUAAUCAUGGAUGUGAUUUUAUGGUCUCACUUUGUCACCUAGGAGUGUAGUGGUGUAAUAAUCACAGCUCACUGCAGCCUCAACCUCCUGGGCGCAAGGAAUCUUCCAGCCUCAGCCACCCAAGUAGCUGAGACUACAAAUACAGAUAAGCUGAUUCUAAAACUUACAAGAAUGGCAAAGAAACAAGAAGAGCUUAACUGCAAUCAUCGACACAGAAGCCUUCUGUGACCAAAGUGAAGACUGAAGCCCUAGGCUAUGGCAGAAGUUGGGCGCCUGAAGUACACGUGGAAAUAUGCCAACUGAACAUUGGACUACCAC